GCUGCUGUAGCUCAGUGGUAGAGCACCCGCUUGGUAAGCGGGAGGUCGAGAGUUCAAUCCUCUCCGGCAGCACCA
Molecule: transfer RNA, 75 nt
Filed under: Acetobacteraceae bacterium
Lineage: Bacteria; Pseudomonadati; Pseudomonadota; Alphaproteobacteria; Acetobacterales; Acetobacteraceae
Also listed under: 1 other name
Description: tRNA-Thr
Rfam family: tRNA
About the family: Transfer RNA (tRNA) molecules are approximately 80 nucleotides in length. Their secondary structure includes four short double-helical elements and three loops (D, anti-codon, and T loops). Further hydrogen bonds mediate the characteristic L-shaped molecular structure. tRNAs have two regions of fundamental functional importance: the anti-codon, which is responsible for specific mRNA codon recognition, and the 3' end, to which the tRNAs corresponding amino acid is attached (by aminoacyl-tRNA synthetases). tRNAs cope with the degeneracy of the genetic code in two manners: having more than one tRNA (with a specific anti-codon) for a particular amino acid; and 'wobble' base-pairing, i.e. permitting non-standard base-pairing at the 3rd anti-codon position.
Source: RNAcentral